GGGGAUUUAGCUCAGCAGCAUAAGCAUCUGCUUUGGAAGCAGGCAGUCGUGAGUUCAAUCCCCG
Molecule: transfer RNA, 64 nt
Filed under: Cavia porcellus (domestic guinea pig)
Lineage: Eukaryota; Metazoa; Chordata; Mammalia; Rodentia; Caviidae
Rfam family: tRNA
About the family: Transfer RNA (tRNA) molecules are approximately 80 nucleotides in length. Their secondary structure includes four short double-helical elements and three loops (D, anti-codon, and T loops).
Source: Rfam by way of RNAcentral